Molecule: long non-coding RNA, 1182 nt
Filed under: Helianthus annuus (common sunflower)
Lineage: Eukaryota; Viridiplantae; Streptophyta; Magnoliopsida; Asterales; Asteraceae
Source: RNAcentral
UUUUCAUCUCUGCUCCCAAAUUUGCCCUCAUUCAAUGAGGUUUCACUCAAUUCUUACGUAUCUUGGAGUGAUUCAAUUAAUGAUUCAAUUGAUGAGAGCAUUGAAUCGGCGUUGCUUCCCCUCCCUGUUUGGUGAAAUCCUUCAAUUCAAUGCCAAUGGAAGUGAAUCGUAACCCUAACCCUCUGAUUGACCAUCGUGAUAUAUCCUUUCGCCAAUGGAAGUCAGAUGAAAACUUUUCUGGCUGUCUACAGGUACAACGAACAUUACGCUGAACUUUGGAUGGACGUCAACCACGAGAAAGAGUGUGGGCAGUGACCAAAGGUAUUCGAUUAGGGUUUCCCAAGGAGGAAGAAAGUGGCAUGUUCUUGUUCGGUUCUUGUCCGUGACGCCAUUGCUCGAAUCCAAGAGGCGUUCUGACCAGCUGCGUCCGACAUGGCCCAGAAUUUGACAACCGGGAACAAAGCUACAGAUGAAAGUCAUUUUCGGCCAAAGGUUUAUGCCAGACUCGAAGUUGAUUUCAAUUAGAGGAGAGCAAGGUCAAGGAGGUUAAAGGAGAGGUGACCCCUAAGCAUACUAAACUGUUACACUUUGAGGAAUAAGGCAGACAAAAGGGCAUAGGCCUAUGGGACAGGGUAAGGGGUAGGAAGAUGGAAAGCUUAAGUGAUAGUUCUGCUAUAAUGAUUUGCCCUGAUUUGAGAGGAGAUCGUGUUUCGAGGGUUUCUAUCCCCUUCAUUGACCAGAUGGCAGAAUCAGGGGCACAUGUUGUUAUGGUAGUUAGAAAUACCAAGGCAGCCCAUAAACUGAUCUAAAAUGGCAGGAUGAAUGGUCUGGAAAAGAAGCUUUCCUCUCAAUAUUGAGUGAACCAUAGAAUUGCCCCUCAUGAUAGGGCUAAGCAGAAUGGACAAACUGACAGAAGAUCAAACUGAUCUGAGACCGCUAAAGCUGUGGAUAUUGAAACCGGACCUGUAAUGAGUUAUGGUAGUCAGUUGGUUUCGAUUUUGGGUUUCGGUACGCCUCACAGGUAAAGGACCGACAUCGAGAAAGGAGCUAUAACAAGGGUAAAGGCUACGUUGAUCUACAAGGUUUGCAUUACAACUUUCAAUAUCGUAAGGAUCAUGCAUAUCAACUUCUGAGGAUUCUUGCAGUCUUUUAGUUACAAGUGCAUGAGAAUUGAUAUACAUA